Molecule: transfer RNA, 87 nt
Filed under: Hyphomicrobiaceae bacterium
Lineage: Bacteria; Pseudomonadati; Pseudomonadota; Alphaproteobacteria; Hyphomicrobiales; Hyphomicrobiaceae
Description: tRNA-Leu
Rfam family: tRNA
About the family: Transfer RNA (tRNA) molecules are approximately 80 nucleotides in length. Their secondary structure includes four short double-helical elements and three loops (D, anti-codon, and T loops). Further hydrogen bonds mediate the characteristic L-shaped molecular structure. tRNAs have two regions of fundamental functional importance: the anti-codon, which is responsible for specific mRNA codon recognition, and the 3' end, to which the tRNAs corresponding amino acid is attached (by aminoacyl-tRNA synthetases). tRNAs cope with the degeneracy of the genetic code in two manners: having more than one tRNA (with a specific anti-codon) for a particular amino acid; and 'wobble' base-pairing, i.e. permitting non-standard base-pairing at the 3rd anti-codon position.
Source: RNAcentral
GCCCAGGUGGCGGAAUUGGUAGACGCGCUGGCUUCAGGUGCCAGUUUCCUCACGGAAGUGGAAGUUCGAGUCUUCUCCUGGGCACCA